GUCAACAACCCAACGACUAAAGUCGUGGGCUUGUAAAAGCCCCUGUUGACUAGCCUAAGUCUUUCGAGGACUACGUUGGAUUGGUCACGACACCUUACGGUGCGGAUUCUAGCUGUAAGCCCUGUCGCUUGUGAUUAAAAGCCCGAACGGGUUGUGGGCGGUGUUGCAAGCGUAAAAGCCUUUCCAACAUUGGCGAAGAAUACCUGACUCCUGAAAGGA
RNAcentral lists this non-coding RNA (219 nucleotides) under [Bacillus] selenitireducens MLS10. RNAcentral's name for it is "Region of HEARO RNA that is 5' to ORF location". It matches the Rfam family "HNH endonuclease-associated RNA and ORF (HEARO) RNA". The record is from RNAcentral. Lineage: Bacteria; Bacillati; Bacillota; Bacilli; Caryophanales; Bacillaceae.